This 77-nucleotide transfer RNA is filed under the name Methylorubrum populi. Its description in RNAcentral is "tRNA-Val". Lineage: Bacteria; Pseudomonadati; Pseudomonadota; Alphaproteobacteria; Hyphomicrobiales; Methylobacteriaceae. The record is from RNAcentral.
GGGAUGAUCGCCGAUUACUGGCGGACAUCUGUUUUACACGGAGAGGGUCGGGGGUUCGAGUCCCUCACCGCCCACCA